AUCCAGAUGACGAGUUUCAAAUAGGACGAAACUCGCGUCUUGGAU
This 45-nucleotide non-coding RNA is filed under the name Schistosoma mansoni. Lineage: Eukaryota; Metazoa; Platyhelminthes; Trematoda; Strigeidida; Schistosomatidae. The record is from RNAcentral.